GGUAAAUGUAAAUAGCGGACUGUAAUUCCGUUUUAAGGGUUUAAUCUCCUAUUUAUCA
This 58-nucleotide transfer RNA is filed under the name Geotrypetes seraphini (Gabon caecilian). RNAcentral's name for it is "tRNA-Tyr". The record is from RNAcentral. Lineage: Eukaryota; Metazoa; Chordata; Amphibia; Gymnophiona; Dermophiidae.